Molecule: long non-coding RNA, 471 nt
Organism: Panthera uncia (snow leopard)
Lineage: Eukaryota; Metazoa; Chordata; Mammalia; Carnivora; Felidae
Exons: 3
Source: RefSeq, a predicted model, not a curated record
GUGACGGGGAGCUCCCGACGGCCUGGGAACAGCCUGGCGCGCUGUCGGUUCUUCCCGCAGAGCUGGACUGGCCGUUAGGGAGGAUCCUGGCUCCCCGUAACCCCCACUCGAGGGCCACCCGCAGCCUCAGACACUGCAAGACGGGCCCUCGCGGCCCCAGCCUUUCUUCCCCAGGGUUAAACAUCCCCGAUUCCUUCCACAUCUGACAUGGUCGUCUGCAAGUAGUGGGCACAGACGUGCGCGGUCUGACUUCCCACCCGCUGUCAGGCCUUACUUCAGCUGCUUUUCCAAGUUGCUGGUAACUUUCCGGGGCUUCCUGCUAAGCUCUUUGCUGGGCUUCCAAAGGCUUUUCCAAGGAGGAGAAAGCUCCUGCAGAUGCAGAAAUGGGGGCAGGGGAAGCAGGGGGCCAAGCCACGUGCUCAUCCAGGUCACUCUCCAAUGGGGGUGUCUCGCUAGAUUACGCUGCCUCUA